Molecule: unclassified non-coding RNA, 257 nt
Filed under: Hevea brasiliensis (rubber tree)
Lineage: Eukaryota; Viridiplantae; Streptophyta; Magnoliopsida; Malpighiales; Euphorbiaceae
Source: RNAcentral
AAACUUUUAACCAUUUUAACCGAUUGGCCCACCAAAUCACUUGAUGACUGUUGUGUUACUGUUUCUCUUGUUGCAGGCAAUCCGUAGGAGAAGAAACAAAAUUCACAGCUUUUCGUUGGACAAUUUUAAAUCUCGAGUAAAUAACAAUAUUGUAAUGCUAAUGAUAAAAGCAUUUGAAAAAUUGCACAUCAUGGUGGACUCUCCUUUCCGAAUAAAACAGUCUCUUAUUCCAAAUUAUUACCCCAAUGCCUUUUUUG